AUCUUUAGGGUUUUCUAUAUACAAUAUCUUGUCAUAUGCAAAUAUUGACAGUUCCCCUUCCUUUCUGGUUUAUUUAAAAAAUAUAUUUGUAUCUCAUGUCUCUGCUGUAUUCCCUCUAUGUAAUGCAAGACUCAGUAGCAGUACAGUGGCACUUUCUAAUUGCCACCCUAGCAGGAAGAGGUGCCUGGCAUUUGGAUCUCGUCUUGCCUCCCAGGACUUGCCAUUUACCUUGAACUCUUUAUUUGUUGUUGUUUUUGUUUGAUUGUUUUUCUUUAUACAUGACCACAUCUACCUAAAUUUAGAAAGAAGGAAAGACAAAUUGCUAGGAGGUGAGAGAAAUUGAUCAAGGUGAUUUGAGAUUUGAUAUCAUAAUAUUGUCAACAUUUGCCUGGUAGUAGUAAUGUAGAAUGCCAUUUUGUACUUGUUGAGAACAUUGUGCUUUUUUCCUCCCUCCAAAUCUUUGUGGGGGAAAAAGUUAGAGUUGUUUUUUAACUUCUUAAGAAAGAAAAUGAAAAUAAAACAUUAGGACAGCUACUGUAAAUGAACUGUUUAUACAUUCGUCACUAGAAAACUAUUUUUCAUUGAAUAGUAGCUUGAAAUUGUAAUUAUUAUAGUUUAUGAUAUUUAUAACCUACUGUGGUUUUGAAUAUUGCUCUUAACACUGUAGUUAGUGACCCACUAGAUUUUAAUUCCUAGGACAUACCCAUUCUUGCUUUCCUCAAAAUUGCAAUCAGUGACUACUUAAUGACAGCAAAAUGCUUGAAAACAAGCUUUUAAAGCGUAGCUGUUACUAAAAUACCAUAAUAACUACUAUGUAAGUGAUGGUUGCUUUUUUGCUGUAGAAACUUUGUGGUAAGAAGCUUCCACAAAAUCCUUAAGAAAAAUAUAGUAUAAAAAAGUAAUUGAUAAAUGGAAGAUAUAUUUUAAAGUGGAAUGUGGAUGAGAAGUAGACACAUGUAAAGGUUUGAUGUGGUUAUAUUUAUUUAAAUUUCUUGGGUUGUUUUUGGGCUUUGCAGAUCAGGUGGUUUUCUUUCUUGACAAAUGAAUUAUUUUUUAAAAUAUCAUUUGUAUACCUCUACAGUUUGCAAAGUAGUUUCUCUUUAAAAAAGUGGUAUACCAAAACCCAUUUAACUGCAAAAUAAAGUUUGCACAUUUGAGAUCUGCAGUGUCAGGAAACAAACUGUGUAUUCUAAUUUCUAAAUUACUAAGAUGUGCUUCCAGCUGUCUCUGUUCAUGUACAGCAAAGGCAGUCCCUGCAGAGCAUUUGUACUGUUGGUGUUUCACAGAGCAUUUGCCAUUGUUUAGUACCAUUUGUCUCUGCAUUUAUUCAUUAUUACCAUCUUCUGUGAUUUCUAGACCAGUGAGAGCAUCCAGCAAGCUUAGACUUCCAAGCAGGAGCCCAAGUAAGCAGUGGGAAAUGAAGCUGCUAUAAAAUUUUGUGGACAGUAUAUAUGCAACAUGCUUUUUAAAAAUUAUACAUAAUAAAUGGGAAACCAGGUCACACCUUAUUUUUUAUGAAGUCUUUUCUACAUCCAUCUUUCAAAAAUGUGCUUAUAACUUGGUGAUCAAAGUAGGCAUUUAAAAAUGGUGUGGUGUGGAAAUAAUUUUAACAUAACAGUUUAAAUAAUUAAACACUCAUAUUUAUUUCCAUUUUCUAUAAAUGAUAGGGAUUUUUUAAAGGCCUAUUAACAACUAAAUAUACUUUUGGUGAUUUCUCCUAAUGGAAGGAACUAUAUGAUUGAGAGACAUAUAUGAUACUAUAGUUUUUGUUUAUUCUCACCAACCUUUAUGCCCAAUUUUAGUUACCAGAUAAACUGUUUAGAGUUUGUUUUCCUUUGCUGACUACCUUACUGGUAACUUACUUUAGGGAGCAGGAACACGUUUAGUUAACAAUUUUUGGAAAUAGAAAAAGGGGUAGAGAAUGUAUGGCUUCUGAAAUCUAAAAGAGAGAGAAAUUCACUGUAGCUUAGGUAAUUGAAAGAGUUUUUGUAAAAUGUGUAAUUGAAAUGCUACCUUAAAAGGGGGCAUGUGUAUGGGCUGCCUCAAAACUUAACAUUGAAAUUAAAGAUAAGAUUUAAGUUAUCAAAUAUUUAUUGUACACUUACUAUAGAUAAGAAAAAAACCCACUUAGGGAGUCUUAAGAAUUUGGGAUGAGAUGAUUGUUGUAACUGAACAUUGGAUAUGGUUCUGAGAAUGUCCUCAUGUUUG
Long non-coding RNA from Phyllostomus discolor (pale spear-nosed bat), 2208 nucleotides. RefSeq lists it as uncharacterized. The transcript is spliced from 2 exons. NCBI's taxonomy places the organism in Eukaryota, Metazoa, Chordata, Mammalia, Chiroptera, Phyllostomidae. The record is from RefSeq and is a predicted model, not a curated record.